AUUAAGUAAGGAGUAGAGGGUUCAGAUCUCAACCUCCCCGGAAUGGUAAAGAACAGUGUUUUUGCUAGACUAGCCCAUCCAUAGUUUGGAAUUUUGUUGGAAAUUAUUGUAGAAUUGUAAGGGUAAAAGAAAUUGAAGUUAAAGUGUAAAAGUUAAAGGGUAAAAGACCGGGUGUUGUAAAGUUUCUAAGCUGCAAGGUCUGAGUUAAAAUGUAAAGGAUUAGGCAUUGUUAGGUUUCUAUGCUACCUGCAAAACCUGAAAUUUCUGUAGCUGUUAAGACAAUGCUUGGAACUGCCCAGUAAAUAUUUCCCCUGACUAUUUGGUUGUUUAAUAAGGGCUCUGUGUGGUCGCACGUAGGCAUUGCAGGGCCUGGACCAAUCAGUUUAAAUGUAACCCCCUCCUUAGGAAUGACCUAUCACUCCAGCCUGACCUGUUCCCGCCAAUGAAUGAACCAAUCAUGUUUAGGAGUUGUUGUUCAAUUUUCCCGCGCCUCAUGAUGAUUUGUUCUGAUGUAUACAAGGCCCUCCGCCCUCCCCAAAAAGUGUACUUAAGCAGUGCUCAGCCCCUGCUCGGGGCUCUGGGCUGCUUUCCCUUCUUGAGUGGGCACGGAGCCCCAGCAUGCUGGUUCAAUAAAUCCCCCUUCUGCCAAUUGCAUGAGUGGUCACUUGGUGGUCUCUUUCUCCGACGUUUCUCGGGACCCUUACAUUUGGUGCGUUGGCCGGGAAAAGCGCAUGGCCGGACAAGGAGACCUCCAAUGGACUCCUUUAGGGGACCACCUAUCCCUCGAAUGGCCCUCCAGCCUAAUACUUCUCAAUUGGACUUUUAUCAUGGACCACUCGAUAGCCCCGAUUAUUAAAGGGGGACUCCAAACUUCUUGCCCCACACCGUCCCUUUUCAGCCUGAAGAAGCCAGAAAGAUUCUCUUCGCCCCCUCUUCCUUACAGCAGUGAGGAAUUCCCAAAUUAGAGGGGGGAAUAAAGCCAGAUUUUAAGUUAGGUAGUCAGUGUAGUUAGAUAAAUCAGGGUCUAAUACCGAGUGAAAUCUAAAAUGGAGGCCAUGCUGAAAAUGAUUCCAGGGAACGCAAAACAACUCAUGAAAUGUGAAACCCUUCAAUAAUUGUGAUGCAUUACUUUUAAGAUUAAAAGUAGUCAGAAAAAGGAGUGGGGAAUGUAAGGGUAAAAGAAAUUGAAGUUAAAGCGUAAAAGUUAAAGGGUAAAAGACCGGGUGUUGUAAAGUUUCUAAGCUGCAAGGUCUGAGUUAAAAUGUAAAGGAUUAGGUAUUGUUAGGUAUCUAUGCUACCUGCAAAACCUGAAAUUUCUGUAGCUGUUAAGACAAUGCUUAGAACUGCCCAGUAAAUAUUUCCCCUGACUAUUGGUUGUUUAAUAAGGGCUCUGUGUGGUCGCACGUAGGCAUUGCAGAGGCUGGACCAAUCAGUUUAAAUGUAACCCCCUCCUUAGGAAUGACCUAUCACUCCAGCCUGACCUGUUCCCGCCAAUGAAUGAACUAAUCAUGUUUAGGAGUUGUUAUUCAAUUUUCCCGCGCCUCAUGAUGAUUUGUUCUGAUGUAUACAAGGCCCUCCGCCCUCCCCAAAAAGUGUACUUAAGCAGUGCUCAGCCCCUGCUCGGGGCUCUGGGCUGCUUUCCCUUCUUGAGUGGGCACGGAGCCCCAGCAUGCUGGUUCAAUAAAUCCCCCCUUCUGCCAA
Molecule: long non-coding RNA, 1701 nt
Organism: Marmota monax (woodchuck)
Lineage: Eukaryota; Metazoa; Chordata; Mammalia; Rodentia; Sciuridae
Exons: 2
Source: RefSeq, a predicted model, not a curated record